CUCCUCUCUUCUUCCCUCUCCCCUUAUCUGUCCUUCCUUCCCCUCUCCUUCCUUUCCUGCUGCCCCCUCCUCUUUCCCUCUUCUUGCCUUCUCUCCUCUUUCUCUAAUGCCCUCCUCUUGCCUUCUCUUCCUCUCUCUCUCUCUCUCCUUUUCUUUUUCCCUUUUUCUCUCUUCCCUCCACUGCACUCUCAUUUCCUCACCCAUACUCUCCUUUCUUCUCCCUCUCCCUCCUACAACAGGGAAGGCAAAGCAAAUUAAUAUGCUAAUAAAUCACUAGGCUAUGUUUAGACAAUCUACUUUUUCCUUCCUGUGAGAUACAUAGUCUGGUUAUUAGAAAAAUUUCUCAGUAAUGGGCGGGGACUUUCCUACCCUCUCUAUAUGUUGUAUUUUCAGUUUUUCAGAGGAAAAUGCAAGGGCUCGUUAUAAGCAAAUGACAUUUUGCCAGUUGGUGAUUAAAAUUUAUUUAGAAUCUAAAAUUCCUAUAACCCAUUCCCUUUUUCCUAGAUCAGAACUUUUCCCUCACUGUUAAACUCACAAAGGUAUAGAAGGCAAUCUAAAUCAUGUGCGGUAGCAGAAGAACUUUAGUAGUUUUCUGUUAUAUGUGUUUGCAGGUCAAUUUGCUCAAUUGUCUGAUUGUUUACAUGAGGAAUUUCUGAGUUUCCUGUAAAACAUGAAAAACCCAAAGUGACUUGAGUCAUAUUGACAUCAUUGACCACAUAACAACAUCAUUGAUGUCAUGAUGACUCUGGAAAACGGGAACAGGCAUUACAAAAUCUCCAUUUAAAGACAAAGCUUUCAUAUACCAGGGUUUCUUUCUAUAGUACAAGGUACGAUGUACAUGCCCUCUUUUACCAUAACAACUUACAACAGAAAAUUUUUUUUCUUAAUAUUAAAAAUGACUAUCAACAGGGAUAGUGUAGAGCUGAUGUUUGGAGAUGUCACUUCAAGAUCCUCUUCUGGGAUUUGUCCUUUUUCCUAUGUUUGUCUGGCAAAGUAUUUUCUAGUGUCACUAAUAAACGGUGUAAAAUUUCCCAUUUUGGAAGUGUCCAGUAUGGGUCCACCAUUUUGCCAGUCGUUUGAAACUUCUCAUAGCUUACAGUAUGACAGACACCAAAAUAUAGCAAAUUCCUAAAUUGUCUUAACCCCACAUCGCAGGCAGGGGAAAAGAGUUCACUAGACUAGGAUCUGAAGAAUGGUGCAAUAUGUCCCCAAAAGCCAAAGAAAAGUGCUUCUGAGGGGCUCUGAAUCUAGACAAGGAAGAUGCAGAGUAUUAGAUAAGAAUAAGAGCUAGUAAGAAACAGAAAAGGACAAAUGCAUUUGAAAUUUUAACUUGUCUUCAUGUAAGAAAAUAGUGUCCUCUAUAGAAAUAUUUUUGUAAUUUAGAGGAAAAAUAUAAUUAGUUAGCAAAAUACAAAUUUUCAAAACUGACCAAAUAAGAGAAACACUUGAAGAAAACAAUUCCUUUAGAGGAGAUUAAAAAUGCAUUUAAAGAGUUAUUGUAUAAAAGGAAACAUCCCCACUGCCAGGAAGUACAGAAAAAAAAAUAGAAGGCAACAUUACGUUUGAAAAGUUUUGCAUAUGAAUUCUAGCACAGCAUUAAAGAUUAGGAGAACCUCAUGUUAUUCAAACUAUUCCAGAUCAUACAAAAAGAUGAGCUUUCCUGUUCAUUUUCUGAAAUUAUGCUAAUUUCAGUUCCAAAGCUUGAUUAAGAAUAGGAGUGUAAGCUUCAAAAUACUGUUUCAAUUAAAAAAAAAGUUGAUAAGGAAUUGUAUCACAUCUAUUUUCCUCAGAGCUAAUUAUUAUUAUUUAUUUCAGAUAAACAGGUUUUAUUUUCACCUUGAAAGAGUCUGUUUUUUUGUUUGUUUGUUUGUUUUUGAGACUGAGUCUCGCUCUGUCACCCAGGCUGCAGUGCAGUGGCGUAAUCUCGGCUCACUGCAAGCUCCGCCUCCCGGGUUCACGCCAUUCUCUCCCCUCAGCCUCCUGAGCAGCUGGGACUACAGGCGCCCACCACCAUGCCUGUCUAAUUUUGUUUUUGUAUUUUUAGUAGAGACAGGGUUUCACUGUGUUAGCCAGGAUGGUCUCGAUCUCCUGACCUCGUGAUCAGCCCGCCUUGGCCUCCCAAAGUGG
Molecule: long non-coding RNA, 2127 nt
Filed under: Homo sapiens (human)
Lineage: Eukaryota; Metazoa; Chordata; Mammalia; Primates; Hominidae
Description: non-protein coding lnc-LRP1B-11:2
Source: RNAcentral